GACGAACGCUGGCGGCGUGCCUAACACAUGCAAGUCGAACGGUAAGGCCCUUCGGGGUACACGAGUGGCGAACGGGUGAGUAACACGUGGGUGAUCUGCCCUGCACUUCGGGAUAAGCCUGGGAAACUGGGUCUAAUACCGGAUAGGACUCCUGGCUUCAUGGUUGGGGGUGGAAAGCUUUUGCGGUGUGGGAUGGGCCCGCGGCCUAUCAGCUUGUUGGUGGGGUAAUGGCCUACCAAGGCGACGACGGGUAGCCGGCCUGAGAGGGUGACCGGUCACACUGGGACUGAGGUACGGCCCAGACUCCUACGGGAGGCAGCAGUGGGGAAUAUUGCACAAUGGGCGCAAGCCUGAUGCAGCGACGCCGCGUGAGGGAUGACGGCCUUCGGGUUGUAAACCUCUUUCAGCUAUGACGAAGCGCAAGUGACGGUAGUAGCAGAAGAAGGACCGGCCAACUACGUGCCAGCAGCCGCCGCAG
This 478-nucleotide ribosomal RNA is filed under the name uncultured bacterium. RNAcentral describes it as "partial 16S ribosomal RNA". It matches the Rfam family "Bacterial small subunit ribosomal RNA", at positions 28 to 523 of the family's 1533-position model. The record is from RNAcentral.